GACGAACGCUGGCGGCGUGCUUAACACAUGCCAGUCGAACGGAAAGGCCCUGCUUGCAGGGUACUCGAGUGGCGAACGGGUGAGUAACACGUGGGUGAUCUGCCCUGCACUUCGGGAUAAGCCUGGGAAACUGGGUCUAAUACCGGAUAGGAGCCAUUUUUAGUGUGAUGGUUGGAAAGUUUUUUCGGUGUAGGAUGAGCUCGCGGCCUAUCAGCUUGUUGGUGGGGUAAUGGCCUACCAAGGCGGCGACGGGUAGCCGGCCUGAGAGGGUGGACGGCCACAUUGGGACUGAGAUACGGCCCAGACUCCUACGGGAGGGAGCAGUGGGGAAUAUUGCACAAUGGGCGCAAGCCUGAUGCAGCGACGCCGCGUGGGGGAUGACGGCCUUCGGGUUGUAAACUCCUUUCGCUAGGGACGAAGCUUUUUGUGACGGUACCUAGAUAAGAAGCACCGGCUAACUACGUG
Molecule: ribosomal RNA, 465 nt
Filed under: uncultured bacterium
Lineage: Bacteria
Description: partial 16S ribosomal RNA
Rfam family: Bacterial small subunit ribosomal RNA
Source: RNAcentral